UACGUAGGGGGCAAGCGUUGUCCGGAUUUAUUGGGCGUAAAGCGCGCGUAGGCGGCAAGGUGUGUCGUGCGUGAAAUCUCCCGGCUUAACUGGGAGGGGCCGUGCGAAACUGCCUGGCUUGAGGUCGGAAGGGGAAAGUGGAAUUCCGGGUGUAGUGGUGGAAUACGUAGAUAUCCGGAGGAACACCAGCGGCGAAGGCGGCUUUCUGGUCCGAUUCUGACGCUGAGGAGCGAAAGCCAGGGGAGCAAACGGG
This 253-nucleotide ribosomal RNA is filed under the name uncultured bacterium. RNAcentral describes it as "partial 16S ribosomal RNA". It matches the Rfam family "Bacterial small subunit ribosomal RNA", at positions 524 to 776 of the family's 1533-position model. The record is from RNAcentral.